RNAcentral lists this ribosomal RNA (253 nucleotides) under uncultured bacterium. RNAcentral describes it as "partial 16S ribosomal RNA". It matches the Rfam family "Bacterial small subunit ribosomal RNA", at positions 524 to 776 of the family's 1533-position model. The record is from RNAcentral.
GACGAAGGGGGCUAGCGUUGUUCGAAAUUACUGGGCGUAAAGAGCGCGUAGGCGGUUUGAUAAGUUGGGAGUGAAAGCCCGGGGCUUAACCUCGGAAUUGCUUUCAAAACUGUCAAGCUAGAGUGUAGUAGGGGAUGAUGGAAUUCCUAGUGUAGAGGUGAAAUUCUUAGAUAUUAGGAGGAACACCGGUGGCGAAGGCGGUCAUCUGGGCUACAACUGACGCUGAGGCGCGAAAGCGUGGGGAGCAAACAGG